This 437-nucleotide ribosomal RNA is filed under the name uncultured Ruminococcus sp. Its description in RNAcentral is "bacterial SSU rRNA". It matches the Rfam family "Bacterial small subunit ribosomal RNA", at positions 341 to 792 of the family's 1533-position model. Lineage: Bacteria; Bacillati; Bacillota; Clostridia; Eubacteriales; Oscillospiraceae. The record is from RNAcentral.
ACGGAAGGCAGCAGUGGGGAAUAUUGGGCAAUGGGGGGAACCCUGACCCAGCAACGCCGCGUGAAGGAAGAAGGCUUUCGGGUUGUAAACUUCUUUUACCAGGGACGAAGAAAGUGACGGUACCUGGAGAAAAAGCCACGGCUAACUACGUGCCAGCAGCCGCGGUAAUACGUAGGGAGCGAGCGUUGUCCGGAAUUACUGGGUGUAAAGGGAGCGUAGGCGGGACCGCAAGUCAGAUGUGAAAUGCCGGGGCUUAACCCCGGAGCUGCAUUUGAAACUGUGGUUCUUGAGUGAAGUAGAGGCAAGCGGAAUUCCUGGUGUAGCGGUGAAAUGCGUAGAUAUCAGGAGGAACACCGGUGGCGAAGGCGGCUUGCUGGGCUUUUACUGACGCUGAGGCUCGAAAGCGUGGGUAGCAAACAGGAUUAGAUACCCUGGUA